GGACCAAGGAGUCUAGCUUGUGCGCGAGUCAUUGGGAUUUUUACUAAACCUAAAGGCGUAAUGAAAGUGAAGGUCCGCCUUGCGCGGACCGAGGGAGGAUGGACCGUUCUGAGGGACGGCCUCGCACUCCCGGGGCGUCUCGCUCUCAUCGCGAGAAGAGGCGCACCCAGAGCGUACACGCUGGGACCCGAAAGAUGGUGAACUAUGCCUGGUCAGGACGAAGUCAGGGGAAACCCUGAUGGAGGUCCGUAGCGAUUCUGACGUGCAAAUCGAUCGUCGGAACUGGGUAUAGGGGCGAAAGACUAAUCGAACCAUCUAGUAGCUGGUUCCCUCCGAAGUUUCCCUCAGGAUAGCUGGCGCUCGCUUCUCGCGAGUCUCAUUCGGUAAAGCGAAUGAUUAGAGGCAUUGGGGUCGAAACGGCCUCAACCUAUUCUCAAACUUUAAAUGGGUGAGAUCUCCGGCUUGCUUGAACUGUGAAGCCGCGAGAUAUCGGAUCAGAGUGCCAAGUGGGCCACUUUUGGUAAGCAGAACUGGCGCUGUGGGAUGAACCAAACGCCGAGUUAAAGCGCCUAAAUCGACGCUUAUGGGAUACCAUGAAAGGCGUUGGUAACUUAAGACGCCAGGACGGUGGCCAUGGAAGUCGGA
Molecule: ribosomal RNA, 645 nt
Filed under: Serica sp. LW1162
Lineage: Eukaryota; Metazoa; Arthropoda; Insecta; Coleoptera; Scarabaeidae
Description: eukaryotic LSU rRNA
Rfam family: Eukaryotic large subunit ribosomal RNA
Source: RNAcentral